This 782-nucleotide ribosomal RNA is filed under the name uncultured Neocallimastigales. RNAcentral's name for it is "partial large subunit ribosomal RNA". It matches the Rfam family "Eukaryotic large subunit ribosomal RNA", at positions 23 to 644 of the family's 3401-position model. The record is from RNAcentral. Lineage: Eukaryota; Fungi; Neocallimastigomycota; Neocallimastigomycetes; Neocallimastigales.
GAGACUCUGUGCGCGUGCAUAUCAAUAAGCGGAGGAAAAGAAACUAACAAGGAUUCCCUUAGUAACGGCGAGUGAAGCGGGGAAGAGCUCAAAUUUGAAAUCUUCAAGGUUUUACCUUGACGAAUUGUAGUUUAAAGAAGUGUUUUCUGUUGGAGUUUUGGUAAAAGUUCUUUGGAAUAGGACAUCAUAGAGGGUGAGAAUCCCGCAUUUGACUAUUCUUUCUAGCUGUGUGAUACACUUUCAAAGAGUCGGAUUGUUUGGGAAUGCAGUCCAAAAUGGGUGGUAAAUUUCAUCUAAAGCUAAAUAUUGGCGAGAGACCGAUAGCGAACAAGUACCGUGAGGGAAAGAUGAAAAGAACUUUGAAAAGAGAGUUAAACAGUACGUGAAAUUGUCAAAAGGGAAGCGUUUCGACACCAGUGUUGUUUAGUUGAAAAUCAAUUCAAUAAUUUUUGAUUUCUGAGUAGUAUUGACUUCAUCAGCUUGCUGCUUUCUUUCUCAGAAAUUAUUGAAUGCACUUUUCAGUUAACAAGUCAACAUCAAUUUCUUUUGUUGUAAAAGGGUAAGAGGAAGGUGGCUUACGCUUCGGCGUCAAGUGUUUAUAGCCUCUUAUCUCUGCAAUCGGAGAGAUUGAGGUCUGCAGCGUAGAUCCUUCGGGGUUAGAUACAGUUUGUGCUAAGUUAUAGCCUUUUCAUAGACAACUUGUUGACUAUGAUCAGUACAUGUAGCUUACUCGCUUAUGCUAUUUUACCUACGCUUAGGAUGUUGAGUCGUAGAGCACGCAG